UCGCAAGCUCGCGAGAGUAAGCUAACCUCUUAAAGCCGUUCUCAGUUCGGACUGUAGGCUGCAACUCGCCUACACGAAGUCGGAAUCGCUAGUAAUCGCGGAUCAGCAUGCCGCGGUGAAUACGUUCCCGGGCCUUGUACACACCGCCCGUCACACCAUGGGAGUUUGUAACGCCCAAAGUCGGUGGCCUAACCUUUAUGGAGGGAGCCGCCUAAGGCGGGACAGAUGACUGGGGUGAAGUCGUAACAAGGUAUC
This 255-nucleotide ribosomal RNA is filed under the name uncultured bacterium. Its description in RNAcentral is "partial 16S ribosomal RNA". It matches the Rfam family "Bacterial small subunit ribosomal RNA", at positions 1247 to 1500 of the family's 1533-position model. The record is from RNAcentral.